This is a long non-coding RNA of Brassica napus (rape), 1602 nucleotides long. RefSeq lists it as uncharacterized. The record is from RefSeq and is a predicted model, not a curated record. NCBI's taxonomy places the organism in Eukaryota, Viridiplantae, Streptophyta, Magnoliopsida, Brassicales, Brassicaceae. The transcript is spliced from 5 exons.
UUGUAACGUUGGUGUGUCAACAUCGAGUUUUGAGGAGUUAUUUUUGGGUUUAUCCCAUGCAUACUAACUAACUAGCUGGUAAUCUGCCCAAUGCGCAGAAUGAUGAACUAUAAGAGAUUAUGAAUUUUUGAACCAUAUAGAUAUUUAUUGAUGUAAUUUUAGUAUAUUGUAUGGAAAUAAAUCUAUAAGAGUAAGUUUAGACUUAUAUAAAUUUAUUCUAAAUUUAAGAUAAAACAAAACAUAAGUAAUAAAAUUAUUGUUUUCAUAGUAUAAAUUAUGAAAAUAAAAUAAUACGAAACAUAAGCAAUAAGAUGAAAAAAUGCUAGAUAAAACAAAUUAUAAAGAAACAGACAAAAUAUACUGAUAAAACCACACAAUUGAUGCGAUACUAUUUCCAUCUUGCAACUAUUUAGAAGUCUCUCACCUUAAUUUUCCACAUAGACUUCUUUAGAUUGAUAUUUAAAACACACAGCACAAAACUACAUACUCAGUGAUAACUUUCACCUUGAUUUUCCACAUAGACGUCUUUGGCUUUAUAUCAGAGAUGAAAUCCAUGAUUCUUUCUUUUUGAUACGUAGAAAAAUGGUAGGCUGUAAUGUCGAUGAAUUUCUGUCCCUUGAUAUAUAUAGGAUCACUUAUAGGGUUUUGCUUAUGAAAAAUUAGAGAGUCAAAGAUUUUAUCUGGCGUAAAUAAAACCGUGUGAACCCCUAAAUUUUAGCUAAUUUUUUUUAAAAAAAAUUAUGUAAGUAAUAUAAUUAAAAAAGGGCAAUUUUCCAUAAUAACAUUUUUUUUGUUUUUGUCUCAAAAAUAGGGUGGGAAGCUAAACAUCACAAAAUAGUAUUUAUUAACUGUUCAAAAGACUCUAAUACCCUCAACAAUUAAUACAACUAACAAAAAAAGACGUUUCUUCUCUCGGCGUCGUCUCCUAGAAUCUCUCUCUCACGACGGCGGCACCAAGACGACGAGCACUGUUAUCAACUCCGGCGACGACGAGCACUGCCAUCAACUCUGGCGACGACGAGCAUUGUCAUCAUCUCCGACGAAAGUACGAAGCUUUGAUUAUAUUCUCGCUGAUCUCUCUCUCAUGAUGGUGGCAUCAAGGCGACGAAAUCCCAAUCAACUCCAACGAAAUCACGAAGCUUUGAUUCUCCAACGCCAUCUCGAACAAAACAAUUCAGGAUUCACUUUGAGCAGUACAAAAGCUAAAAAACAAGAUGGGAGAUUCUGAUUUCGGAUGGACUAGGCUUGAUAAAGAGGAUGAUACACAUGUCACUACCAAAGAAAAGUCAAGAUAUAGAUAUGAUGGGAUGCUAGAUAUAGAAACAAUUACCAAUCCCAAAGACAGAACUGUGGCUCCUUUGCUGAAGCAUCCCAAGGAAACAAAGGAAAUUGUGAAGGUUUAGGUUGAUGUGUUAGAGAGGAGCUUGAGGUAUUCAGAAGAGUAACCAACAUCCCUCUGUAUGUCUAGAAACAAUCUCCUCUGUGGUCCUUUCAUGUGAAGCUCUUAUUCUUGUAUUAGUUGUUUUGUUUUGUGACUGGUUGAAUACCCCUUCUUAUUACAUGUACCUCCAUGAGAAAUACAUUUUGGAAAACUCAUGAAGU